GACGAACGCUGGCGGCGUGCUUAACAUAUGCAAGUCGAACGGAAAGGCCCCCUUGUGGGGUACUCGAGUGGCGAACGGGUGAGUAACACGUGAGUAACCUACCCUUUACUUUGGGAUAACUUCAGGAAACUGGGGCUAAUACCGGAUAGGAGCUCCUGCUGCAUGGUGGGGGUUGGAAAGUUUCGGCGGUUGGGGUUGGACUCGCGGCUUAUCAGCUUGUUGGUGGGGUAGUGGCUCACCAAGGCUUUGACGGGUAGCCGGCCUGAGAGGGUGACCGGCCACAUUGGGACUGAGAUACGGCCCAGACUCCUACGGGAGGCAGCAGUGGGGAAUAUUGCACAAUGGGCGGAAGCCUGAUGCAGCAACGCCGCGUGCGGGAUGACGGCCUUCGGGUUGUAAACCGCUUUCGCCUGUGACGAAGCGUGAGUGACGGUAAUGGGUAAAGAAGCACCGGCUAACUACGUG
RNAcentral lists this ribosomal RNA (465 nucleotides) under uncultured bacterium. RNAcentral's name for it is "partial 16S ribosomal RNA". It matches the Rfam family "Bacterial small subunit ribosomal RNA", at positions 28 to 507 of the family's 1533-position model. The record is from RNAcentral.